RNAcentral lists this ribosomal RNA (761 nucleotides) under Xanthomonas campestris. Its description in RNAcentral is "bacterial SSU rRNA". It matches the Rfam family "Bacterial small subunit ribosomal RNA", at positions 29 to 778 of the family's 1533-position model. The record is from RNAcentral. Lineage: Bacteria; Pseudomonadati; Pseudomonadota; Gammaproteobacteria; Lysobacterales; Lysobacteraceae.
GUGAACGCUGGCGGCAGGCCUAACACAUGCAAGUCGAACGGCAGCACAGUAAGAGCUUGCUCUUAUGGGUGGCGAGUGGCGGACGGGUGAGGAAUACAUCGGAAUCUACUCUUUCGUGGGGGAUAACGUAGGGAAACUUACGCUAAUACCGCAUACGACCUACGGGUGAAAGCGGAGGACUUCGGGCUUCGCGCGAUUGAAUGAGCCGAUGUCGGAUUAGCUAGUUGGCGGGGUAAAGGCCCACCAAGGCGACGAUCCGUAGCUGGUCUGAGAGGAUGAUCAGCCACACUGGAACUGAGACACGGUCCAGACUCCUACGGGAGGCAGCAGUGGGGAAUAUUGGACAAUGGGCGCAAGCCUGAUCCAGCCAUGCCGCGUGGGUGAAGAAGGCCUUCGGGUUGUAAAGCCCUUUUGUUGGGAAAGAAAAGCAGUCGGUUAAUACCCGAUUGUUCUGACGGUACCCAAAGAAUAAGCACCGGCUAACUUCGUGCCAGCAGCCGCGGUAAUACGAAGGGUGCAAGCGUUACUCGGAAUUACUGGGCGUAAAGCGUGCGUAGGUGGUGGUUUAAGUCUGUUGUGAAAGCCCUGGGCUCAACCUGGGAAUUGCAGUGGAUACUGGGUCACUAGAGUGUGGUAGAGGGUAGCGGAAUUCCCGGUGUAGCAGUGAAAUGCGUAGAGAUCGGGAGGAACAUCCGUGGCGAAGGCGGCUACCUGGACCAACACUGACACUGAGGCACGAAAGCGUGGGGAGCAAACAGGAU